GCCCGGCUGGCUUAGUGGGUAGAACGUGUGACUCUUGAUCUCAGAGUUGUGGGUUCGAGCCCCACGCUGGGCA
Non-coding RNA from Nyctereutes procyonoides (raccoon dog), 73 nucleotides. The record is from the annotation of a RefSeq genome assembly. Lineage: Eukaryota; Metazoa; Chordata; Mammalia; Carnivora; Canidae.